Xiphophorus hellerii (green swordtail) is the source of this 300-nucleotide long non-coding RNA. RefSeq lists it as uncharacterized. The record is from RefSeq and is a predicted model, not a curated record. The transcript has 2 exons. Lineage: Eukaryota; Metazoa; Chordata; Actinopteri; Cyprinodontiformes; Poeciliidae.
CUCAACCACCGUCUCAGCAAAACCCACGACGUACAUGGCCACCGCCACAGCGUUGGCGAAGGCGAAGAUGAGACCGAUGGAGCCUCCGAACUCUGGACCCAGACUUCUGGAGAUCAGUUUUCCUCCUGCUGGUCGGUUCCUCACCUCCGCGUACGAAGCCGUUGGUUGCUAUGGCGGAGGUCGACAGGCCGGUGAUGGUGGUGACCAGAGUGGCCAUGAGGAUGAUGGCGAUGGUGAGUCCUGUUUCACAAAAACACCUAAACCGUUAAAACCCUGAACAAGAAAAGCUCCUUCACUUCA